AAUAGGCCACGGGCAGGGCUGCUUUAUAGCGAUCAGCUGGGAGCAGUUGGGGCCGAGCCCUUCAUGUCUCGGGCUGUCCACACUCCAAGCGCGGUGCGGGCGCCCAGGCCUCCAUCUUGCAUCUCACUGUGAGCCCGGCGCUUGCGCACACAGCUUGCCUGCUAUGCUGAGGGGUGGGUGCAGCCGCUUGCCACGAGGAGGAGCUCUGGUCUGAAGCCCCUGGUGCGAGGUCUCUGCUCAGACCACCCUGUGAGCAAGUGAAACUCAACCAAGCACGAAGGAAAGAAAGGACAAGGGGACGGACACUAAGAAGGGGAUGUAUUGUCUGCGUGUGUUGCCUUCACACCUUUGAAUUCUAAAGGGAUGGCAGGGGCAGCUAACAGAGAGCAGAGAGGAGGCAUCCGGAAUCCCAUGUGGCACAUUUAUGUCAACUGCAUGUCAAUCAGAUGCAAGUGAAGACUAAGCAGUUCCAGCACGGGAACCUCUGAAAAUCAAGACCACAUCAUCCUGAUGUUUUGGCAUUUUGCCCACUGCCUCAGCAUGUGCUUUUAAAGAGAGCUCUCUAUUGCCGUCUCAUGGUGAAUGAGUGAAUGGCUGGGAUUAGGAGACAAAACUGGCUACCACCACUAAGCAGAAAGAUUCCACAAAGGCAAAGGGGAAGCUUACAUGAAGCAGACCUGAGUUCCUGCUAUUACUUAUGUGCAACAUCAGAAAGAGAAUUCCAUGGUAAGUGUAGACAGUCUCUAAGGUUUGAGGCUCACCAUAUGAAGGAAUGUUUUCCUGGAAAGCUCUUCUUCUCCAGUCUGGCAUUCAUCCUUCUGAAACAAAAUUUAAUCCCCAGUAUGGUGGACAAGGAAAGCAUUGUUUUUGUUGGUUUCCUUUCUUUUUGUGUUUAAACUAGUAGGGUGUGGAGGACAGGGGAGAAGUGCCCUAUCCACAGUGCCUGAGGGCAGCUUAGCAACCCAGGAGUGUGUAGAGAGAAACUGGCUUAGCUGGUAUAGGAAGUUCUGUAGGAAACAUUCAUGGGCUCUGAGAAGUUGCAUUUCUAUCAAUGGGAGAUUUUCGGUUUUUUUAACUUUUUUGAAGUGUGGAGAUUUCUUAAUUUUCUCAAGAGUAAAAGUUUAACGAGUACUGUUUUCUUUUAGUUGAAGUUGAUGUCUCAUCCAGCCUUAAUGUUGCUAGUAGCAGGGCUAUUCUUAAAACCAUUCCUAAAAAAGAAUCAGCUACCUCACCAGAAACUGCCACAGCAUUCCUCGACUCUUCAGAAAUUCCAUUUCAUGCCAUUCUUAUUUGGAACAUACUUUGCAAUUAACAGUGUUCUAGUUCCUGUGAAUUGUGAAAAGAAUGAAUAGUGGGAGUUCCCAUUGUGGCUCAGCAGUAACAAACCAGAUUAGUACCCAUGAGGAUGGACAUUUGAUCCCUGGCCUGCUCAGUGGGUUAAGGAUCUGGCGUUACCUUGAGCUGUGGUGUAGGUCACAGAUGCGCCUCAGUUGCUGUGGGUGUGGCUGUUGCUGUGGUGUAGGCCGGCAGCAAUAGCUCCAACUUGACCCCUAGCUUGGGAACUUACAUAUGCCCAAAGUGUGGCCCUAAAAAGCAAAAAAAAAAAGGAACAUGGAUCUAAAUAUCACACUUAUUUGUUUCAAAAAAUGAUAAAGCCAAGACUUAGAUUGAUAGUUGGAUAGGGAAGAAAAUAGGAUCUUUUGCCCCUCCUUUGAUGUCCCCAUAUUUUAUUUCUGAAAUAAAUAACCCAUAAAUAAUUGGCCUAGGCCUAGUAAAAGGAUAAUAAAAUGAUUUAGUUUUAUAAAUGGUGAUAGGUAGGAAACACUAUAGAACUGGUGACUUUCUUCUAAAGUUUUGGUUAAGCCAUUGGAGACUUUGCUGUCCAGAAGGUAGGGAUGUUGGCUCUGCCCUAAUUAUCUCAAAUAGCAAGUCUGUUUGGCCCCCAGGAAGGCGGCCAGAUAACGAAUGUGGACAUUACUUUUCUCAGCUCAAAUUGAGAAAAAAAAACUUUACAGAGCUUUGAGGAAGGCAGAUACCAGCAGCCUCUUUUAUGGUGGGUGUGAACACAAAUCAAAGACUCCAGCCGAAAACAUCCUCCACCUGGCGACUU
RNAcentral lists this long non-coding RNA (2110 nucleotides) under Sus scrofa (pig). RNAcentral describes it as "lncRNA (ENSSSCG00000050918.2)". The record is from RNAcentral. Lineage: Eukaryota; Metazoa; Chordata; Mammalia; Artiodactyla; Suidae.